GUGCUCUUUUUGGCAGCAUGAAUAUUAAACCUGAAAUAAUUCAGAGAAGGUUUGUAUGGUCCCUAGGCAAAGGCAACACCAACAAUUCACGAAGCACAUUGCUCUUUG
Molecule: small nuclear RNA, 108 nt
Filed under: Loxodonta africana (African savanna elephant)
Lineage: Eukaryota; Metazoa; Chordata; Mammalia; Proboscidea; Elephantidae
Source: RNAcentral